Molecule: ribosomal RNA, 253 nt
Filed under: uncultured bacterium
Lineage: Bacteria
Description: partial 16S ribosomal RNA
Rfam family: Bacterial small subunit ribosomal RNA
Source: RNAcentral
UACAGAGGUCCCAAGCGUUGUUCGGAUUCACUGGGCGUAAAGGGUGCGUAGGCGGUGAGGUAAGUCGGAUGUGAAAUCUCCAAGCUCAACUUGGAAAUGGCAUUGGAAACUACCUUGCUAGAGGAUCGGAGGGGGGACUGGAAUACUUGGUGUAGCAGUGAAAUGCGUAGAUAUCAAGUGGAACACCAGUGGCGAAGGCGAGUCCCUGGACGGUUCCUGACGCUGAGGCACGAAAGCUAGGGGAGCAAACAGG